This 178-nucleotide non-coding RNA is filed under the name Sporomusa sphaeroides. RNAcentral's name for it is "6S RNA". It matches the Rfam family "6S / SsrS RNA". Rfam says of the family: E. coli 6S RNA was the first non coding RNA to be sequenced, but its function was unknown until recently. It consists of 184 nucleotides that fold into an extended hairpin structure with a large single-stranded internal bulge. Lineage: Bacteria; Bacillati; Bacillota; Negativicutes; Selenomonadales; Sporomusaceae. The record is from RNAcentral. RNAcentral also lists the same sequence under 2 other names.
UCAACCCUGCUGUGCACGUGUAAAGUCUAUGUUUUGAGCCAACACAUUGACUUAGGGAGCCAGGCUCUGAUUAUAGCGUGUAUGCCCAGGAUACAAGGGACACAUAAAGUAGUCAGGCGAGCACCCACCUGCCGAGGGCAGGUUCAAAACACAGGCGAUACGGCAUAGUGGGGAUUGG